Molecule: ribosomal RNA, 559 nt
Filed under: Salmonella enterica
Lineage: Bacteria; Pseudomonadati; Pseudomonadota; Gammaproteobacteria; Enterobacterales; Enterobacteriaceae
Description: partial 23S ribosomal RNA
Rfam family: Bacterial large subunit ribosomal RNA
Source: RNAcentral
GGGUUGUGAGGUUAAGCGACUAAGCGUACACGGUGGAUGCCCUGGCAGUCAGAGGCGAUGAAGGACGUGCUAAUCUGCGAUAAGCGUCGGUAAGGUGAUAUGAACCGUUAUAACCGGCGAUUUCCGAAUGGGGAAACCCAGUGUGUUUCGACACACUAUCAUUACGUGAAUACAUAGCGUAAUGAAGCGAACCGGGGGAACUGAAACAUCUAAGUACCCCGAGGAAAAGAAAUCAACCGAGAUUCCCCCAGUAGCGGCGAGCGAACGGGGAGCAGCCCAGAGUCUGAAUCAGCUUGUGUGUUAGUGGAACGGUCUGGAAAGUCCGACGGUACAGGGUGAUAGUCCCGUACACCAAAAUGCACAGGUUGUGAACUCGAAGAGUAGGGCGGGACACGUGGUAUCCUGUCUGAAUAUGGGGGGACCAUCCUCCAAGGCUAAAUACUCCUGACUGACCGAUAGUGAACCAGUACCGUGAGGGAAAGGCGAAAAGAACCCCGGCGAGGGGAGUGAAAAAGAACCUGAAACCGUGUACGUACAAGCAGUGGGAGCCCCACCACCA